Molecule: ribosomal RNA, 477 nt
Filed under: uncultured bacterium
Lineage: Bacteria
Description: partial 16S ribosomal RNA
Rfam family: Bacterial small subunit ribosomal RNA
Source: RNAcentral
AUGCACGCUGGCGGCGUGCUUCACACAUGCAAGUCGCACGGGAAACCUUUUAAUGAAGCUUCGGCAGAUUUAGCUGGUUUCUAGUGGCGGACGGGUGAGUAACGCGUGGGUAACCUGCCUUAUACAGGGGGAUAACAGUCAGAAAUGACUGCUAAUACCGCAUAAGCGCACAGGACCGCAUGGUCCGGUGUGAAAAACUCCGGUGGUAUAAGAUGGACCCGCGUUGGAUUAGCUUGUUGGUGGGGUAACGGCUCACCAAGGCGACGAUCCAUAGCCGGCCUGAGAGGGUGAACGGCCACAUUGGGACUGAGACACGGCCCAGACUCCUACGGGAGGCAGCAGUGGGGAAUAUUGCACAAUGGGGGAAACCCUGAUGCAGCGACGCCGCGUGAAGGAAGAAGUAUCUCGGUAUGUAAACUUCUAUCAGCAGGGAAGAUAGUGACGGUACCUGACUAAGAAGCCCCGGCUAACUACGUG